This 443-nucleotide ribosomal RNA is filed under the name uncultured bacterium. Its description in RNAcentral is "partial 16S ribosomal RNA". It matches the Rfam family "Bacterial small subunit ribosomal RNA", at positions 338 to 795 of the family's 1533-position model. The record is from RNAcentral.
CCUACGGGUGGCAGCAGUGGGGGAUAUUGGACAAUGGGGGAAACCCUGAUCCAGCGACGCCGCGUGAGGGAAGAAGUAUUUCGGUAGGUAAAGCUCUAUCAGCAGGGAAGAAAGAAAUGACGGUACCUGAGUAAGAAGCCCCGGCUAACUACGUGCCAGCAGCCGCGGUAAUACGUAGGGGGCGAGCGUUAUCCGGAUUCACUGGGUGUAAAGGAAGCGUCGACGGCCGGGCCAGCCAGGAGUGAAAGCCCGGGGCCCAACCCCGGGACGGCUCUUGGAACGGUGCGGCUAGAGUGCGGGAGGGGCAGGCGGAAUGCCUGGUGUAGCGGUGAAAUGCGUAGAUAUCAGGAGGAACACCGGCGGCGAAGGCGGCCUGCUGGACCGCGACUGACGUUGAGGCUCGAAAGCGUGGGGAGCGAACAGGAUUAGAUACCCCAGUAGUC